RNAcentral lists this long non-coding RNA (2807 nucleotides) under Lupinus angustifolius (narrow-leaved blue lupine). RNAcentral's name for it is "long non-coding RNA (LANG_LNC001463)". The stretch from base 3 to 141 matches the Rfam family "U4 spliceosomal RNA". The record is from RNAcentral. Lineage: Eukaryota; Viridiplantae; Streptophyta; Magnoliopsida; Fabales; Fabaceae.
UUGGGGCAAUGACGCAGCUAAUGAGGUUCUAACCGAGGCGCGUCUAUUGCUGGUUGAAAACUAUUUCCAAACCCCCUCUUAGGCCUGGGUUCAGCCUUGGCCUUCGAGAAUUUCUGGAAGGGCUCCCUUUGGGGUAAAGCUCUACAAUUUAGUUUAAAUAUUUUAUUGUUUCCCGUGCUCAUUAUUUAAUAAUGCAUGGGUCAAACAUAGUUUACGAACCAUCUUGGGAAUAAAAUACCGGGUGAUAAAAUUUAUAUUUUCCUCAGUAAAAAUAAACUGUCAGCUCUCCUUGUUCUUGAUAACUGCGUUAUUCUUUAUAACUGCGUUUUCCAUGAAGUGUAUAUACCAUUUUUGGUAUUUUUAUUAAGAUUAACAUGCUUAACUCUACGAAAUUUUAGAAGUUAUUUUUUCCCGUGUAAAAAAGAAAAAUGAUUAUUUGUUAGAAAAGAAAAACUAAUACCGGAUAAAAAUGAAAAUUAAAGCAAAAUAAAGUGAUUGUAAUUGGAUAAGGAUUUGUUUCAAACCUAUUAUGUUAUGUCAUCUUAUAUAAAAAAUUUAAAUAUUCAUGAUUUUAUUAAUUUUUGCUUCAUUGUGAUUGGUUAGGGACAUGUUUGGAGACAACACGUGAUUGGUUAGGGAUAUGUUUGGGGACAACACAUAAAGAAGUGAAGGUAAGAAAUGCUUAAAAGAGUUGAUAAACUUGUGUGUUUUUAUAAAUAAUAAUUUAUUUAUUUUUUAGAAUGAUAAUUUAGAACAAAAUAAAUUUGUAAUAACACUUACAUAGAAUCAACAGUAUGUAAAUGUGAGUGAAAGAAGGGGGAGGGAGAGGCAUAUUAUAAUAAGAAUUUUAUUAAAUGUUGUUUCUCAACUUGAUUCGUAGUAACCCGAUGCAGCGUCAUUUCCAAAUUUCUACCAAAAUAUGAUUUUUCUUUAUAAUACCAAUAUUGAAAACGACCUAAACAUAAUUUUAUGAGAGUGAGAAGUCCAAUUUUGACAUUGUCAAUCACGGUCUACUAAUAAAUUUAAUCGCUGAGUGUUGGUCUACGUGAAAUGGAAGUCGUCAUAAUAAUGGAAUGAAAGAAUAGAAUACGUUCAAACACAACUAAGAUGAUAAAGUAAUGCUAGGAGCUAGAACCAAAAUUUGCUACUGUUACAUGAAAUCAUGUGUAUAUUAUUGAAUGGUGCAUAGCAUCUAAACCGUGAUUGGUGGAGUUAUGCAGAUUGCAAUUGCUCAGUUCACCAACCCAAUUAUAAAUUUAAUUGGUAGUCGUGUAUUUAAAGGGAAUUCCUCAUUCUGCUAUGGCAAUUUGUCAUGAGCAAAAAAUCAACAUAUAUAGUUAUGAUCAGAGUAACCUUAUUUGUACAAAGAAUUAUUAUAACCAACCCUGCUAUUUUACUGAAAGUAAAGUUGUUUGGAAAGAUGUCAACAAUACAUACUUAUAAGACGUAUUACACUGAGGAUAUGCCCUGAGAACUUCAUUAUUACACUUCAAGGGUAAAGAUUUAUACAACCACUUCAUCAUCCGCCAUUUAAUUGAACUAAGAGUCAAUGAUGAUUAAAUAUAAAUGAUGGAUGAUGUAGUAACAAUAUAUAAAUCUCAUACACGAUCAAUGUAUACAUUUUUUUCUCUUAAUAAUUUCCGGCAGACUUAAUCAUACACUAAUGACAAUGGUUAACAUUUGCAAUUUUUUUAUAAAUCAAGUGAUACAAAACCAGUGCAACUAAACACCAAAUUAUGAAAAGUUUUAGUUGUAAUAUAAGACAACUAAUGUAUCAUGAAACAUAUUAUUCAGACCCCUUAAUGAAUUGUUAUUUAAACAAGAGAAUAUAAAUCAAUAAGCAGGCUUGGUUAUAUUUUGUCUCACAUGUCCAAGCCAAAGAAUUAUCUUUUGCAAGUGAACCAUGCCUAGAACGUGGCACUGCAAAUGAAUCAAAGCUCAUUUAAGUGGUUUCUGCCUCAACCAAAAAAUGCUUCUCCAAGAUGGCAACUGUUUCUUCCUUUGCACUGCAAACACACAACAGAUGAAGAAGAACACAAUCAAUAUAACACUGUAACACAACUAUGAUAUCAUAUGACGUAAAUGGUUUAUGGCAUCGGUAUCUAACAUAGCACGGUCCAUGUUUUAAACAAUGCAGCAGAAAACAAUUUAGCUAAGCUACCUUCCAGGUCUAAGUAUCUUGUAUUGGUUGGGUGUAGUGAGGUCCACAACUGUUGAACCUGCAGGACCUGAUGGAAGAACACCACCAUCAUAAACAAAAGCACAAUGUUCCCAUAGGUUCUCAAAAUCUUUUAUGCUAACACUACUUGACUGUCCACUUAGGUUUGCACUGGUAAGUGCUAAGGCGGUUCCGGAACCUCGGGCAAUGACUCUGAUGAAAUUGCAAUCAGGCACUCUUACUCCUAUGCUAUCAAAUCCAGGAUUCAAUGACCGCUCAAGAACACUCGACUCUCCUGUAAAAUAUCCAAGUAUACUAUCAGACAGUAUAUAAGAUCUUUACAAUAAAAUCUGAGGUUAACAGAAGAUAUUUGAACAAUGGCAUUGAAGAUAUAGGAUUAAAUUGUUGCUUCAAACAACUUUGGUGAACGAAUUGACUUUAACAUAUGUAGUAUUCAAUUCUGCAAUCUGCAUAGUUUACUUCCAUAAUUUUCAUUUUCCAAUAUAUGUUUUUCGCCAUGACAUAUAACAUAUGAAUAUGACUUACAAACCUCGUCUGAGUACAACUGUAACAGGCCCUGGUAGGAGGGAAUCAAGUAGACCAUGGGGCAAAUGGUCAAUGACAGCAUAACGGUCCAUAUCAGAUACAU